GGGUCAGUAGUUCAAUUGGCAGAAUGACGGAUUCCAAAUCCGUUGGUUAUAGGUUCGAGUCCUAUCUGGCCCGCCA
This 76-nucleotide transfer RNA is filed under the name compost metagenome. RNAcentral's name for it is "tRNA-Trp". It matches the Rfam family "tRNA". Rfam says of the family: Transfer RNA (tRNA) molecules are approximately 80 nucleotides in length. Their secondary structure includes four short double-helical elements and three loops (D, anti-codon, and T loops). Further hydrogen bonds mediate the characteristic L-shaped molecular structure. tRNAs have two regions of fundamental functional importance: the anti-codon, which is responsible for specific mRNA codon recognition, and the 3' end, to which the tRNAs corresponding amino acid is attached (by aminoacyl-tRNA synthetases). tRNAs cope with the degeneracy of the genetic code in two manners: having more than one tRNA (with a specific anti-codon) for a particular amino acid; and 'wobble' base-pairing, i.e. permitting non-standard base-pairing at the 3rd anti-codon position. The record is from RNAcentral.